AACGCACAUUGCGCUCCUUGGUAUUCCGGGGAGCACGCCUGUUUGAGAAUCAUUGAAAUCUAUCACCACUUGUUGUUGUCUUCUAACGGAGAUGUUCGGCAUUGGUGGAUUUGAACUUUUCUUUCCCUCAGGGAAAGAAUGGUUUUAAAUUGAAUGUCGGGAGAUUGCUCGCAAUUGCCAAGCAUUGAAUCUCAAGCGCAUGAAAGGGUGUUUUCACUUUGGUAGUACGCUUGUUUGGUGAGGCUUUAGUGAGUGGUUUAACGAAUUGACCAGCCUCUGGUCACUUAAGAUGUUUGGGGACAGUAUGUCUCUGAGCUCUUGAACUCUUGGUCUCAAAUCAGGUGGGAAAACCCGCUGAACUUAA
Molecule: unclassified non-coding RNA, 364 nt
Filed under: uncultured soil eukaryote
Lineage: Eukaryota
Description: sequence contains 5.8S rRNA gene, ITS2, 28S rRNA gene
Source: RNAcentral